CAGAAAAGAGAGUUACCAAUUGUCUUUUUGCAAAAAACUCAUAUCCGUCUUCCACAACCUGAUGAGCUCUACAUAUGAGAUCCAAAUCAUGUUUAUGGAGAAACUUAGCAACCACUUCAGCACCAAAAGUAAAGGACACUCCUCUGUCAUUUUCACCCCAUCCUAAGACAUCUUUGUCAGGGUCAGACCACAGGAGAUCACAAAGAAGACCCUGGUCAGGUACAUCAGUGGGGCGCAUAAUUCGUCUGAUCUGUUCCAUUGACUGAAGGUCUGGUGACAAACCUCCGUGACAGCAGAAUAUCUUCUCAUCCACAAUUGCUGCAAUUG
This 327-nucleotide long non-coding RNA is filed under the name Gallus gallus (chicken). The record is from RNAcentral. Lineage: Eukaryota; Metazoa; Chordata; Aves; Galliformes; Phasianidae.